CACAUUCUAAAACCAGUUUUCCUCUUGAAUCGUUUGACUGAAUCACAUAGGACCAUGCAAUAUCUUUUUUUCCUCGGACCGAAUGGUUUGUAGCAGCCAUUUCUUCGUAGUUUUCCUCAGGGUCAGUCUCUAUUUCCUGUAAAACUCAUACACAAAGUUUUUUAAAAAUCAUGGGUUACAGGAAAUAUAUAGAGUUGUACAAAACAAACAGAACAUGACAUAUCAUUGUGAUUAAACAAAACAAUAGUCACAGCAAAAAAAAAGUCACUCAGAACAUGAUUCACGUCAUAUGGUAUUGCAUAAACAUAUACAAAACAUAGUCGGGGAUACAUAGUAUAUGAGACAGCCGCAAAAAAAAGACAAUACUAGGAAAUUGAUAACUGAAAAACUGAAAACCUAAUCCUUCUAUUUGGAAUAUCCAACCGACUUUAGUAUCACAAUUUUAAAAAAAAAACUAAAAAAGUAAAUAAAAGUUAUCCACUGGGUUCACCCGGUGUCCGGGUUCCGGGUUUUAACGGUUUUUUACGGAUUUUACCGGGUUUUUAAAUAGUGGAUAAAUCUUAAAACCCAAACCGGAACACAUGCUGGGUCACCGGGUUUACCGGUCUGACCGCGGAUCCGGGUCGGGCGUGAAAACACUGGCUGUAAGUAAUGUAGCUUUAAAAUUGAUUGCUACAACAAUAUAUUUUCUACAGCCAAAAAGACGGGCAUUUAAAAAUAAGGCUUUUACAGCUUUUUAUUUUUUUUAUUUUUUGGCUGUAGUUUAAAAAAACAAGAUAAAACAUGAUUGGUGAUUUAAAGGAUGUAGAUUAAUAUUAAAGCUAAAAUCAGCU
Molecule: long non-coding RNA, 833 nt
Filed under: Brassica rapa (field mustard)
Lineage: Eukaryota; Viridiplantae; Streptophyta; Magnoliopsida; Brassicales; Brassicaceae
Description: long non-coding RNA (BRAP_LNC002491)
Source: RNAcentral